GAGAAUGCCGGUGUGAGUAGCGAAAGACGGGUGAGAAUCCCGUCCACCGAUUGACUAAGGUUUCCAGAGGAAGGCUCGUCCGCUCUGGGUUAGUCGGGUCCUAAGCUGAGGCCGACAGGCGUAGGCGAUGGAUAACAGGUUGAUAUUCCUGUACCACCUAUAAUCGUUUUAAUCGAUGGGGGGACGCAGUAGGAUAGGCGAAGCGUGCGAUUGGAUUGCACGUCUAAGCAGUAAGGCUGAGUAUUAGGCAAAUCCGGUACUCGUUAAGGCUGAGCUGUGAUGGGGAGAAGACAUUGUGUCUUCGAGUCGUUGAUUUCACACUGCCGAGAAAAGCCUCUAGAUAGAAAAUAGGUGCCCGUACCGCAAACCGACACAGGUAGUCAAGAUGAGAAUUCUAAGGUGAGCGAGCGAACUCUCGUUAAGGAACUCGGCAAAAUGACCCCGUAACUUCGGGAGAAGGGGUGCUCUUUAGGGUUAACGCCCAGAAGAGCCGCAGUGAAUAGGCCCAAGCGACUGUUUAUCAAAAACACAGGUCUCUGCUAAACCGUAAGGUGAUGUAUAGGGGCUGACGCCUGCCCGGUGCUGGAAGGUUAAGAGGAGUGGUUAGCUUCUGCGAAGCUACGAAUCGAAGCCCCAGUAAACGGCGGCCGUAACUAUAACGGUCCUAAGGUAGCGAAAUUCCUUGUCGGGUAAGUUCCGACCCGCACGAAAGGCGUAACGAUUUGGGCACUGUCUCAACGAGAGACUCGGUGAAAUCAUAGUAC
Molecule: ribosomal RNA, 764 nt
Filed under: Staphylococcus aureus
Lineage: Bacteria; Bacillati; Bacillota; Bacilli; Caryophanales; Staphylococcaceae
Description: partial 23S ribosomal RNA
Rfam family: Bacterial large subunit ribosomal RNA
Source: RNAcentral